GCCCUGGUGGCGGAAUUGGUAGACGCGCACGGUUCAGGUCCGUGUGACGAAAGUCGUGGAAGUUCGAGUCUUCUCCAGGGCACCA
Molecule: transfer RNA, 85 nt
Filed under: Devosia nanyangense
Lineage: Bacteria; Pseudomonadati; Pseudomonadota; Alphaproteobacteria; Hyphomicrobiales; Devosiaceae
Also listed under: 2 other names
Description: tRNA-Leu
Rfam family: tRNA
About the family: Transfer RNA (tRNA) molecules are approximately 80 nucleotides in length.
Source: RNAcentral